This 329-nucleotide ribosomal RNA is filed under the name Salmonella enterica subsp. enterica serovar Oranienburg. RNAcentral's name for it is "bacterial SSU rRNA". It matches the Rfam family "Bacterial small subunit ribosomal RNA", at positions 1 to 324 of the family's 1533-position model. Lineage: Bacteria; Pseudomonadati; Pseudomonadota; Gammaproteobacteria; Enterobacterales; Enterobacteriaceae. The record is from RNAcentral.
UUAAAUUGAAGAGUUUGAUCAUGGCUCAGAUUGAACGCUGGCGGCAGGCCUAACACAUGCAAGUCGAACGGUAACAGGAAGCAGCUUGCUGCUUUGCUGACGAGUGGCGGACGGGUGAGUAAUGUCUGGGAAACUGCCUGAUGGAGGGGGAUAACUACUGGAAACGGUGGCUAAUACCGCAUAACGUCGCAAGACCAAAGAGGGGGACCUUCGGGCCUCUUGCCAUCAGAUGUGCCCAGAUGGGAUUAGCUUGUUGGUGAGGUAACGGCUCACCAAGGCGACGAUCCCUAGCUGGUCUGAGAGGAUGACCAGCCACACUGGAACUGAGA